CCACACACGAUCCAAGAUCGACACUUUUUUGUGAACUGUAAACUUUUUUGUUGAUGAAUGAAAGUAGAGUUACACAUUCUGCUUUUUGAAGUCAAUGAAAACUUUUUAAACACCUUUAUUUAAAAAACAAAAAUGAUUUAUACAUUGGAACUUAAAAUGUUAUAACAAGUUCGUCUUGAUAUAACGCUAGAUUAUUAAUUGUAAAA
Molecule: unclassified non-coding RNA, 206 nt
Filed under: uncultured fungus
Lineage: Eukaryota; Fungi
Description: sequence contains ITS1, 5.8S rRNA gene
Source: RNAcentral